UGAGAAGCCUUCCCGGGAAGGGGGGCCGGUAAGGUCCUCAACUUGUGUGGUGGGCUCUGAGACACCACGCCGGGCUGCCCGCAGGCCCGGGCAAAGUUCCGGGGUUCGAGGCCGCCCGCAGCAGCAGCAGCAGCAGAAUUCCUUCUUUGAGCAUUGUGAUCUGACUCAAAAAGAGGGUGACCAGGGUGGCCCUGAUGCAUUGAGGUGGUGACCAUCCACUGCUCUGACCUACUCUCAGCUCUCUGCGAGACAUGGUGCUUUCAGGUGGAUGUGCCAGAUGCUAGGGUAAGUUCUUCAGGGGGAAAAAAAAUAAAAGAAUGACUUUCUCAGCUAGUGAAGGACUUUUUGGUUUAAAGGUAUGCUCUAAACUACUUUGGAAUUUGAAAAGUGUUUUCUCUUUUUUCUGUGGCAAUGACUUUGAAGGGUGGCUCAAUGCAGAGGCUAGCCUGCAGAAGCUCAUUAAAACAAAAUGGACUCCCUCAAUCACACCCCUCAGCCAACCGAGAGUUCCACCCAUCAUUCCUGCCUGGAAACACGUAGUGCCUUUGGUGGCCAGGUUCUCCUGCAAGGGCAGACGCCUGUGGACGUGUCUCCUCGCCAGGCCGGCUCCUUUAUUCAUCCUUUUCUCCCAGCGGACCCAGGUGUGAUCCUAGCUUUCUUCUAGCAUUGCCCCGCAUUCCGCAGCUGAGCUUUCUUCUCCCUUCUGCCCUGAAGACAGUGUCAUUGUUUCUUCCCGCCUUCUUCCUCUCUGUGCCAGAAAAUGACUCUGAGUGUUUCUGAGGAAUUUUACAGCUUUCAAAAGAAGAAAAGCAUAUAAGAGGUUGAAAUAACAUCACAGAGAAAUUUCAAAUUUAGAAGCAGCCUUAAGAGCUUGAUCAUUAUACCAGUUACUCAUUUUUCCUGGGAAUGCAAAUGCAACUAGGUCAGACUGUCUAUGGUUCCUUCUUUCUCUGGCCAGACAAUCCAGUCCCUUGAGCUCUCAUGAACUUGUAGGGCUGGAGCCUCUGAGAGCUGCUUCAUUUGAUGCAGAAGGCAUCGUUCUUCUUCCGAGUCCACCCAGUCUCCUUGGGAAGUCUGCACGAGGAAAAGUACAGAUGCUGAUGAAGAGGCUUGACAAAGCCUCAAGUGUGACUUUCUUGAAUUUCAGAGAAAACUCAGACGUUCAUCUUUACAGUCAUCACGUCACUCUUCACUCCGAAAGUCACGUCAGGCUGUUCUGACAGUAACAGCCCAGUCCAAGGUGUCUAUCCUUGAUGGCUGUUUUACUCUCCACCUGUUUUCUCGACUCCAGGGUAACAACCACCUCCCCACUCAGCAAACUUUGGUGAAGUACCUGCAACCAGCCAGGCACCAUGAAAGGCGCCAGGCGUAAGACACUUGCCCUUAGCCUUUCUGUACCACUUCUCAUCAUCUCAACACAUUUUUAUAGCAUCCUGCCCUAUCUCGCAAAUAUGCAUUAUUUACCUUUAAAUCACAGCCUCUGAGGAGGUUCCUGUAGACCUCAUCCACAGCACAGUUAUCCACUCUUUGGCUUCAAACAGUACAACUUUUUGUCUGCUUCUUUACCAUUUCUCUCCUUGAAUACCCCCACUGAAAGCUGAUCUAACACUGACCUCUGGAUGUUGGCGCUGCCCGAAUUACCUUGAGGUACAAAGGACAUAAUGCAUCACAGACUGUCUGAGGCUAGACCAUUCACUGGUGCUAGACCAGCAGGAGCACAUCAAUCAUUUGGGUAAAGUCAGAAUCAUCAAAGACAGACCAGAAGACUCAGCAUUCUGUAGAACUCAACGAAUAUGUAAGACCCUAGCACCUGAUCUGUGUCUUAGUUUGGUCCCUGAUACAACACAAUUAAAAAACAGGGAAUCUAUUUUUUAGACUUACCUAAAA
Long non-coding RNA from Ailuropoda melanoleuca (giant panda), 1887 nucleotides. RefSeq lists it as uncharacterized. NCBI's taxonomy places the organism in Eukaryota, Metazoa, Chordata, Mammalia, Carnivora, Ursidae. The transcript has 3 exons. The record is from RefSeq and is a predicted model, not a curated record.